Non-coding RNA from Punica granatum (pomegranate), 1435 nucleotides. Lineage: Eukaryota; Viridiplantae; Streptophyta; Magnoliopsida; Myrtales; Lythraceae. The record is from RefSeq and is a predicted model, not a curated record.
AUGUUCUCUUUCAUACGGGAUAGGCUGCUUACCAUUCAAUUAAAUUUUUUUUGUGGUACGUGCUUUUAUAUAUCAACCUACCAAUGGCACCGGCAGACGCCAUUUCUGCCAUUCAAAGAUCCCCCUCUUCCAUUCCACUACCCUUCCUCUUCAGCAAUGGAGGCACACCAAGAUCAUAGGAGGAGCACGUUUCAUGGUUGGAGCCGGACCGAAGAGAAUUGCUUGGACGCGCUGCCCGAUUCUGUCCUCUUCCUGAUCUUCGGCAAAGUUCGGGAUCUCAGGUCCUUGAUCCUUUGCUCUCUCGUCUCCAAGCGGUUUGGCCUCCUCAUCCCGCAGACGGACUCCAUCCGCAUCCAUCUCGACUACUUUGAAAAAUUAGGGCGACACACGAAACGCGGUUAUGGCAACCUUCUCAGGAACCUCUUCCGAGGUCAUUGCAUCAAACUGAUCGGGACGAGACCUCAGACUUCAAUCCCUGGUGGUGACCGUCCCUCUCCUUAUAGCGCCCUGCAUCUGCUGCAGAGCAGGUUUCAGAAGGUUCGGUACCUGCACAUAGAGCUUAAGAAUUCCGGCAAUAAGCUCGACGGGGAAGAGAGCAGCUCCAGGUUGAUGAAGUGGAGGGCUGUGUUCGGGUCUCAUCUCGAGACCUGUGUCAUCCUCUUGGCCUCCUCGCUUUAUAGAACAGACGAAGGCGAUAGGGCCCGGGCCAAAUUUAGUGCCAAACCGGAACUGAGCCACUCCGACCUGAGAUGGAUCGUCGAGUUAGCUAAGUGUUGUGUUGUCAAUGCAUCGUUCAGGCUUGUCUACUAUGUCCCUCGGGAUAAACACGGAACUCUUCAGAGAGUUGUCGUCUCUGAUGACAGCAGAAGGGGAAGGCUGUGUAUGGGAAGAGACGAGAUGUCGAGCUUUAGGACGUCUUGUUCGGGUGCCGAUGGUGAUUCUACAGAGAAAAUGAGGCUGAGGAGGCUGGAGAGCGUGGCAGGGCCACUGCUGUUGAGCGUGUGGUACAUGCCGGUGUUGGAUCUGCCACAAUCAGGCUACGAGAUGAGCAGGGCAAUCGUGGUGGUGGUCCGGAGGGGAGGUAACGGACCCAUCGCGAUGGAGAGGGAGGUAAGAUCACUAUUGGGCGCAUUCGAUGACGAAGAGAAGGGGAAGAUUUACGACGAAGCAGUCAUGGCGAUUGGUAAGUGCAAGCGGAAGAAGAUAUACACAUCAAGAGUUCGCAGCUUCGCGGAGAAAUAGCACUCGAGGCUAUUCCGCUGGUCCGAAAAUCGAUAUUUUCAAAUGACAGCCGCUAAGAUCUCCAACGUCGACAAGCUGCUCCAAGCAGAAGCCCGAGCUGCUCUCCUCGCCCUAUCAUUAGCUGCGGAAAGAGGAACGACAAAAAUUUGACUACGAAGUGACGCCUUAAUACUAAUAGAUGUCAUUUUACACC